This is a long non-coding RNA of Xiphias gladius (swordfish), 1969 nucleotides long. RefSeq lists it as uncharacterized. The record is from RefSeq and is a predicted model, not a curated record. The transcript is spliced from 4 exons. NCBI's taxonomy places the organism in Eukaryota, Metazoa, Chordata, Actinopteri, Istiophoriformes, Xiphiidae.
CUAAGCCCCGAGCUUUGCCAGGCAGAGCGUCUACGAUGGGAAACAGUCAGGCUUGAAGGCUCAUACACCCACAACCCAGGACUCCAUUUCCGCGAGAGUCACAUGACCGCAUCACAUGACAGAGGCUAGUUUUUAUCCCCGUGGUUCCUGGGAGGCCUCCAAACCCAGAGUGGCCUCACCACUUUUCCCACAGCCGUCUGGGGAAUGGACUGCGGACCUGAAGGAUCCACUGCCAAACAUUCUGAGAGCGGUCAGUGGCAUCUAGGGGAAGGCGUGGUGAAGACAUGCCCUCAUCUGAGGCCUUGACUGGCCGUCUGGACAAAGUGCUGCAGCGACUGGAAGGAGAAGGAGAGGCAUGUUGGGACCAGAGACUGACCAGCUUUACCACUUGGAAAACUUUAGACACGAUGAAGGGAAGAAGAAGAAAGGCAAGCGGAGCUGCUGGCAAAGGAGCGCCAGCCCUGCACGGGGCCCCUGCUGCCUGGGGCUGGUGCAUCAUGGGAGACAGAGCCAUCUCCAAAUCAGGAGGGAGACAUUAAAGGAGUGCAAGUGGGAAAGGAAAAGAGAGAGAGAAAAGACAGAGAAGAAAAGAGAAAAAAAGGGGGAACAGAAACACUGUCAAGUGCAUACACAAACACACACACACACAAAACUCUUCCACACACACAUACCUGUGUUUGGAUAUGAAGACAAAAGAAUUUCAUAUCUCUUUUCUUGUCUCAAACAGAUCCACCUCCUAACCUGUGUCAGUCUGUUCUAACUCAGUUCCUUAAACCUUCCCACGACAACUUUAGCAGGUCAACAAAAUCUUGAAUUCAAAGCGCAUACACUGUCUGACCCAAAUACUAAUGGGACCAUCAGGGUGGGAAUAGAGGAAAGCGGAAUUGAAUGGUGAUGUGCCUCCUAUUCAUCUGCUGGGAUGUAAAUUUAGCCAGUUCGAAGAGUAAUCUGAAGUUAUGACAAUUUAUGACACUACAGUUACUGAGAUGGAAUACAGAGAUUACUACGCAAGUUUAUAUUUACAGUCCUACAGAAGCUACUGGGAUGGUAGGAAAGAAGGGGCUUGAAACAGCUGAAGAAGAAGUGAAGUUGUAUGUAAAUCCUGCCUUUCAUUUACCCCGACUUUUAUAUGAAAAUGAGUGAGGGAAUGAAAUAUAGUAUUCUGUCACAACAUAAGCUCUAAAAAUAAAUAAAUAAAUAAUUAAAAUAAAAUAAAGCACAACUCCUCGAGGGAAUCCGGACCCAGUUGUCUGUCAGCGUGUAAAAGUUUGAGUUUAGCUGAUUACAAAAAAGGAAACACUGAGACAGGAAGUAAAACUUAAGGAAGUAGGACUUACAGGAAAGUGGGGUAGCGUAACCUGGCCAUUGAUCUUGACACUGCGAUGCAUCUCUCUCUGGAGCUGCUUCUUGGUGCCAAGCUUGUAUGGAGGAAUUCCAUCUCUGUAAAACCAAAGAUAUUAUAGAUUUACAUUAAAAAAAAAAACCGGACAGUUUUUCUUUCUUAUUCAUAAAUUACUUAUCUAUUAUAACCAACUACCCAGUGGAUGUUAUUUUUGAUGAUUUACUACUACUCUGUCAAGCAGGUCACAAUAUUUCCACACCAAUAGUUAGUGCAUUAGCACCAUUAGCCAAUCUUUGUGGAGAAAGAGCCCUUAGGAGGCAGUUUAUCAUUGAAGUGACCGACAAGGCACCACCCAGUAACCACCCACUAGGCACAUUACAGUUAAAUCAAAAGGCCAGGGAGCCCUUGAAGCCAAGGCAACAAAAACACACAUAACAAAACACACCAGAACAAUGGGAGAGAUAUGCUAAACAUCCCUACAGGCUUCAAAAGAAGAGCCCCACUGAUAAGAUUACAUCAGUCCUUGUCAACUCUGACAGGAGUUGUUUAACAAGACUAGGUCAAAACCUAGUAUAUGGCUGGACCGCCCUUUUAUCUGUUUCCUUCUCUCCUACUCUCUGUGCUCAC